GACGAACGCUGGCGGCGUGCUUAACACAUGCAAGUCGAACGGAAAGGCCCUGCUUUUGUGGGGUGCUCGAGUGGCGAACGGGUGAGUAACACGUGAGUAACCUGCCCUUGACUUUGGGAUAACUUCAGGAAACUGGGGCUAAUACCGGAUAGGAGCUCCUGCUGCAUGGUGGGGGUUGGAAAGUUUCGGCGGUUGGGGAUGGACUCGCGGCUUAUCAGCUUGUUGGUGGGGUAGUGGCUUACCAAGGCUUUGACGGGUAGCCGGCCUGUGAGGGUGACCGGCCACAUUGGGACUGAGAUACGGCCCAGACUCCUACGGGAGGCAGCAGUGGGGAAUAUUGCACAAUGGGCGGAAGCCUGAUGCAGAAACGCCGGGUGCGGGAUGACGGCCUUCGGGUUGUAAACCGCUUUCGCCUGUGACGAAGCGUGAGUGACGGUAAUGGGUAAAGAAGCACCGGCUAACUACGUG
RNAcentral lists this ribosomal RNA (468 nucleotides) under uncultured bacterium. RNAcentral's name for it is "partial 16S ribosomal RNA". It matches the Rfam family "Bacterial small subunit ribosomal RNA", at positions 28 to 507 of the family's 1533-position model. The record is from RNAcentral.